CGUUGGCCGUCGCCUAAUCGCCACAGCACGGCGAGCCGGGGAACCACGUACCUGGGGUGCAUCCGCGUCAGCGGUAGGGAUCUUCCGUCCCGAACCCGUCAGCUAACCCGGUCGGCGGUUGACGGAAGGACAC
Non-coding RNA from Micromonospora sp. CB01531, 133 nucleotides. The record is from Rfam. NCBI's taxonomy places the organism in Bacteria, Bacillati, Actinomycetota, Actinomycetes, Micromonosporales, Micromonosporaceae.